CCGCGAGGGGCCCACGUGGACGGGGCAAGCAGCGCAUCCACCGGCUGAGCAUGAGAUGAACGAAAGAAAAAAGCACAAGAAACACAAUUCCCAAGGUCGGCAGCGCGGAAACGGCAAGUGGUGAGGACUCUGAAAAAGAAGAAGUAAAGCGUUCCUGCCGUGGCGGGAGUUAACAGAGUUCCUGCGGACACGCGAGUACUCAGGAAACCGGUCGGGUCAAGCGGGGGCGAGAACCGCGAACCCGCGCCGGUUCCCGCCAAAUCAGGUGCGCGCGGCGGGAGGAGGGGCACCUGUGGCGCGCGCCGCCGCUAAAUCACCGACCGGUACUACAAUUAGAUAACUCGAUUCCUUGACAAUGACCGCUAAAUCCUUCCUUCCUUGGCCCCCCUCCCCUGGUGUUGGUGUUCCGUCUUACCCCCUCCCAGAGUGGCGUCUCGGUAUAAAGAGCCAUUGCAUCACCGCUUUACACAUUAUUUUCCACUUUUCACUUUUAAUAAUGCAGUCAGCCUGCUGAUAAGCGACUCGCGACACCGACCCGCCGUUUUUUUCACUCAGUUUCGUUCGGACUCGCGAUCAUCGCGCUUUGCAGGUUAUGUUCACGCGUCUUGUGUUCGCUUGAAGUCUCGUGCUCGUACCCAGUGCUGUGAGCUCUGUGCGUGUGUGUCUGUGUCAAUCGUCUUUGGUGCAAGUGUAAAUUUUUGUAUAUAAGCUACUACGCUUAAACAACACAGCAACAUGAAUCCCGCAAGAGUUUUGUUUGUCACCCUUAGCUGCUUCCUAUACGUCUGUCUAGUCACAGCCCAAGGGUUCUUCGACACAUUCGGAGGACCAUCAUUCAGAGGAGAAGAAUUGAGCAGGACUCAGUCCAGGGAUCCACGAGAAAACCGAGGUACGUUUCUUAUCAGCUAAUUUCUUAUCACCGCGUUAUUUGAGACGAAGAGGAAAAAUAAGAGAAAGCGGAGUGGAAAAAUAAGAAAAAAGUCCCUUUGGAAAUGUAGGACAUA
RNAcentral lists this long non-coding RNA (1004 nucleotides) under Bemisia tabaci. Its description in RNAcentral is "lncRNA ENSSWEETPG011079". The record is from RNAcentral. Lineage: Eukaryota; Metazoa; Arthropoda; Insecta; Hemiptera; Aleyrodidae.